Molecule: long non-coding RNA, 929 nt
Filed under: Salmo salar (Atlantic salmon)
Lineage: Eukaryota; Metazoa; Chordata; Actinopteri; Salmoniformes; Salmonidae
Description: lncRNA (ENSSSAG00000088167.1)
Source: RNAcentral
UGAGGAAUUGAAAAACGGUAUGGUUGAAAGAAAUGGGGCUAAAAGGAAGUGGCUAAUAAGUCUGGCUGCAGGUCUGACUGGCUGACUUCCUGCAAAAUGAGAAAUGAUGUGACUAAACUCAACAAAAAGAAGAAACUGUAUUAUGAAGCCAAGAUCAAUGUUAAUGUAUAGAUGUGUGUGUGUGAUUACUAACAUAACAGGUUAGGAUUACUAAUGGAGCAGGUUAGGAUUACUAAAGUAGCAGGUUAGGAUUACUAAUGGAGCAGGUUAGGAUUACUAAAGUAGCAGGUUAGGAUUACUAAUGGAGCAGGUUAGGAUUACUAAAGUAGCAGGUUAGGAUUACUAACGUAGAAGAUUAGGAUUACUAACAUAGCAGGUUAGGAUUACUAACAUAACAGGUUAGGAUUACUAAUGGAGCAGGUUAGGAUUACUAAAGUAGCAGGUUAGGAUUACUAACAUAGCAUGUUAGGAUUACUAAAGUAGCAGAUUAGGAUUACUAAAGUAGAAGGUUAGGAUUACUAAAGUAGAAGGUUAGGAUUACUAACGUAGCAGGUUAGGAUUACUAACGUAGAAGGUUAGGAUUAUUAAUGUAGCAGGUUAGGAUUACUAAAGUAGCCGGUUAGGAUUACUGAAGUGGCAGGUUAGGAUUACUAAAGUAGCAGGUUAGGAUUACUAAAGUGGCAGGUUAGGAUUACUAAAGUAGAAGGUUAGGAUUACUAACGUAGCAGGUUAGGAUUACUAACGUAGAAGGUUAGGAUUAUUAAUGUAGCAGGUUAGGAUUAUUAAAGUAGCAGGUUAGGAUUACUAAAGUGGCAGGUUAGGAUUACUAAAGUAGAAGGUUAGGAUUACUAAAGUAGCAGAGUAGGAUUACUAAAGUAGCAGUUAGGAUUACCAACGUAGCGGGUUAGGAUUACUAAAGUAGCGGGUUA